Molecule: ribosomal RNA, 37 nt
Filed under: Fusarium temperatum
Lineage: Eukaryota; Fungi; Ascomycota; Sordariomycetes; Hypocreales; Nectriaceae
Description: partial 18S ribosomal RNA
Source: RNAcentral
AACAAGGUCUCCGUUGGUGAACCAGCGGAGGGAUCAU